CCUGGCGGCACUAGCGCGGUGGUCCCACCUGACCCCAUGCCGAACUCAGAAGUGAAACGUCGUAGCGCCGAUGGUAGUGUGGG
This 83-nucleotide ribosomal RNA is filed under the name Klebsiella pneumoniae. Lineage: Bacteria; Pseudomonadati; Pseudomonadota; Gammaproteobacteria; Enterobacterales; Enterobacteriaceae. The record is from RNAcentral.